UACACUCCUACGGGAGGCAGCAGUGGGGAAUUUUGGACAAUGGGGGCAACCCUGAUCCAGCAAUGCCGCGUGAGUGAAGAAGGCCUUCGGGUUGUAAAGCUCUUUUGUCAGGGAAGAAACGGUAGUAGCGAAUAACUAUUACUAAUGACGGUACCUGAAGAAUAAGCACCGGCUAACUACGUGCCAGCAGCCGCGGUAAUACGUAGGGUGCAAGCGUUAAUCGGAAUUACUGGGCGUAAAGCGUGCGCAGGCGGUUGUGUAAGUCAGAUGUGAAAUCCCCGGGCUCAACCUGGGAAUUGCAUUUGAGACUGCACGGCUAGAGUGUGUCAGAGGGGGGUAGAAUUCCACGUGUAGCAGUGAAAUGCGUAGAUAUGUGGAGGAAUACCGAUGGCGAAGGCAGCCCCCUGGGAUAACACUGACGCUCAUGCACGAAAGCGUGGGGAGCAAACAGGAUUAGAUACCCCGGUAGUCCCA
This 474-nucleotide ribosomal RNA is filed under the name uncultured organism. RNAcentral's name for it is "partial 16S ribosomal RNA". It matches the Rfam family "Bacterial small subunit ribosomal RNA", at positions 332 to 797 of the family's 1533-position model. The record is from RNAcentral.